RNAcentral lists this unclassified non-coding RNA (228 nucleotides) under Hevea brasiliensis (rubber tree). The record is from RNAcentral. Lineage: Eukaryota; Viridiplantae; Streptophyta; Magnoliopsida; Malpighiales; Euphorbiaceae.
CGGGAUUCCAUAGGACUCGAUUUACUGAGAUCCUCGGAUCUUCACCCAUACUUUUCAGAAAGUCCGGUGAAAAAACCUCUACUUCCCAGAUCAUUAACGUUCUUCGAAACAACAUUUUUCCAGAACUAACAUCCCACAGCUCUACGCUUCCACCACCGUCUCCAACUAUCAGAAGUGUCUGUUGAACAGGGUGAAAAUCCAUUGUGGUUGGAUAAUAGUUGACCGUCG